AACUAAUAAUUUCGCAAGUUUCGGCCUUGUUAUAGCACUAGCAUUAGUUA
RNAcentral lists this transfer RNA (50 nucleotides) under Tigriopus californicus. Its description in RNAcentral is "tRNA-Arg". The record is from RNAcentral. Lineage: Eukaryota; Metazoa; Arthropoda; Copepoda; Harpacticoida; Harpacticidae.